RNAcentral lists this non-coding RNA (29 nucleotides) under Mus musculus (house mouse). The record is from RNAcentral. Lineage: Eukaryota; Metazoa; Chordata; Mammalia; Rodentia; Muridae.
UAGCAUUCAAAAGUGAAUAUGUAGAGUGU